This 28-nucleotide non-coding RNA is filed under the name Cricetulus griseus (Chinese hamster). Lineage: Eukaryota; Metazoa; Chordata; Mammalia; Rodentia; Cricetidae. The record is from RNAcentral.
GUGGAAGCAGUAAAGGUGAGGGUCUGAC